GGUAGUCCACGCCCUAAACGAUGUCAACUAGCUGUUGGGGCCUUCGGGCCUUGGUAGCGCAGCUAACGCGUGAAGUUGACCGCCUGGGGAGUACGGUCGCAAGAUUAAAACUCAAAGGAAUUGACGGGGACCCGCACAAGCGGUGGAUGAUGUGGAUUAAUUCGAUGCAACGCGAAAAACCUUACCUACCCUUGACAUGUCUGGAAUCCCAAAGAGAUUAGGGAGUGCUCGCAAGAGAACCGGAACACAGGUGCUGCAUGGCUGUCGUCAGCUCGUGUCGUGAGAUGUUGGGUUAAGUCCCGCAACGAGCGCAACCCUUGUCAUUAGUCGCUACGAAAGGGCACUCUAAUGAGACUGCCGGUGACAAACCGGAGGAAGGUGGGGAUGACGUCAAGUCCUCAUGGCCCUUAUGGGUAGGGCUUCACACGUCAUACAAUGGUCGGGACAGAGGGUCGCCAACCCGCGAGGGGGAGCCAAUCCCAGAAACCCGAUCGUAGUCCGGAUCGUAGUCUGCAACUCGACUACGUGAAGUCGGAAUCGCUAGUAAUCGCGGAUCAGAAUGUCGCGGUGAAUACGUUCCCGGGUCUUGUACACACCGCCCGUCACACCAUGGGAGUGGGUUCCACCAGAAGUAGUUAGCCUAACCGCAAGGAGGGCGAUUACCACGGUGGGGUUCAUGACUGGGGUGAAGUCGUAACAAGGUAGCCGUAUCGGAAGGUGC
RNAcentral lists this ribosomal RNA (721 nucleotides) under uncultured bacterium. RNAcentral's name for it is "bacterial SSU rRNA". It matches the Rfam family "Bacterial small subunit ribosomal RNA", at positions 789 to 1515 of the family's 1533-position model. The record is from RNAcentral.